This 73-nucleotide transfer RNA is filed under the name Cladosporium sphaerospermum UM 843. Its description in RNAcentral is "tRNA-Thr (TGT) (tRNA-Thr-TGT-1-1)". It matches the Rfam family "tRNA". From Rfam's summary of the family: Transfer RNA (tRNA) molecules are approximately 80 nucleotides in length. Their secondary structure includes four short double-helical elements and three loops (D, anti-codon, and T loops). Lineage: Eukaryota; Fungi; Ascomycota; Dothideomycetes; Cladosporiales; Cladosporiaceae. The record is from RNAcentral.
GCCGUUAUGGCGCAGUGGUUAACGCGCAGCACUUGUAAUGCUGAGAUCCCUAGUUCGACUCUGGGUAGCGGCA